GUUUGAACGCUGCAUUGAAAGGAACGUCUGGAUGUUCUUCACUUCACUUUCGUACGAGCUGUCCAGUAACGUCAAGCCUUUGGACGCCAGCUUACAGGCGGCCAUCCACUGAGAAUACUGCUUCUCCUGAUUCAGGGGGAACGAGGAGUUUGAUGCAGAAUUUCUGGCCCGCUACGUUGACAUCAGGGGCAACCUCACAGCCUACAGAGAAGCAGAAGUGUCUCAGAUAACAGAUAACAGCCUACUUUCUUUUCAGCCUUGACUAAGGACGGAGCAAGGAGAGCUCCUCUGGGUGACGUAAAUCUGAAACCAAAAUGAUGCCCAUAAUUGUGCGAAAUACGGGACUGGAGAAGCAGGCUCGCAUUUUCAGCGUGGCCCCGUUCGGUAAGCCCAGUCGCAGAGACUUGUGCUGCGGGGUGAAGAAGAGGCGAGCGUCUGCGUGGACCCCGCAUUUGUCCAGAGUCCAGCCGGUCCUCAGCAGCCACUGCUGCUUCUGCUCCCACCACAGGGCGUGAUCGGACCAGUCCUUCUUCAGAUCUACAAAUAAGAGGAUCAGAGGUCACGCUGACUUUAAGAGGUGGGGCGUCCGGACCAAGAUCCUCCACUGUGACUGUAAGGUCCCACGCUGCCAUACUGCUGACAAGGGAUAGUAAAAAUACGGAAACAUCGAGGUUUGAUCAGACAUUAUUCUGUUUAAAAGCGUCGGUUUUGAUGGACCAAAUGUUAAACGCAUGAUGAGCAGCCGUAUCUCACAUGCUUAGCAUGAUCACGCUGAUGGAAAUGUUGGUGACACAUCACCAGAUCAUGCUUCAUCCAGCCUCGUUUGCUCCUAGUUUACCGAGGCCGAUACUUCCCGUUUAUACACGAAUCUAAUGGAACCACAUUUCCUCUUUUGGUAAAGUGUCUAAUUCACCGAUGUGUGUAAUAGGGUGUGUUGGUUUAUAUAUAUGGGUCACGUGGGUGUGUGUGUGAUAAUUCUGAAAAUAGUUGACUGAAACUGAAAACUGAAAUAGACCCAAAAAUAUUAAAUCUGUAACGCAAAUGCCAUUUGAACUUUACAAUAAAAUAAAUUAAUGUAGACACAACGCUGCAAAAUAGUGCAACGUGUCGUAAUCACCUUUAGAUAAUAUCCUGUUCAAAUAAAUAAAACGCUUUAGAUGUAAUUUAUACCACCUUAAUAUUUUGUAUUGUACAUUUCUUUUCUAAACGAUUACCUAUUUGUUAGUUAUCUGAAAUAAAAUGAACAGAGAA
Molecule: long non-coding RNA, 1251 nt
Organism: Puntigrus tetrazona (Sumatra barb)
Lineage: Eukaryota; Metazoa; Chordata; Actinopteri; Cypriniformes; Cyprinidae
Exons: 5
Source: RefSeq, a predicted model, not a curated record